This 83-nucleotide transfer RNA is filed under the name Devosia sp. Root436. It matches the Rfam family "tRNA". Rfam says of the family: Transfer RNA (tRNA) molecules are approximately 80 nucleotides in length. Their secondary structure includes four short double-helical elements and three loops (D, anti-codon, and T loops). Lineage: Bacteria; Pseudomonadati; Pseudomonadota; Alphaproteobacteria; Hyphomicrobiales; Devosiaceae. The record is from Rfam by way of RNAcentral.
GCGGGCGUGGUGGAAUGGUAGACACACCGGACUUAAAAUCCGGAGACUGUAUAGUCGUACGAGUUCGAGUCUCGUCGCCCGCA